GGGAUGUGAUGAAGAAUUAUUGGUCCGUGUUUCUGAUCAUCAGUGAUGAGCAAAACACUCCAUAAUUCUGAUCCC
Small nucleolar RNA from Sorghum bicolor (sorghum), 75 nucleotides. It matches the Rfam family "Small nucleolar RNA SNORD18". From Rfam's summary of the family: U18 is a member of the C/D class of snoRNA which contain the C (UGAUGA) and D (CUGA) box motifs. NCBI's taxonomy places the organism in Eukaryota, Viridiplantae, Streptophyta, Magnoliopsida, Poales, Poaceae. The record is from Rfam.